Molecule: ribosomal RNA, 301 nt
Filed under: uncultured bacterium
Lineage: Bacteria
Description: partial 16S ribosomal RNA
Rfam family: Bacterial small subunit ribosomal RNA
Source: RNAcentral
CAGCCGCCACGGUAAUACAGAGGGUGCGAGCGUUAAUCGGAUUUACUGGGCGUAAAGCGCGCGUAGGCGGUUACUCAAGUCAGAGGUGAAAGCCCGGGGCUCAACCCCGGAACUGCCUUUGAAACUAGGUGACUAGAAUCUUGGAGAGGUCAGUGGAAUUCCGAGUGUAGAGGUGAAAUUCGUAGAUAUUCGGAAGAACACCAGUGGCGAAGGCGACUGACUGGACAAGUAUUGACGCUGAGGUGCGAAAGCAUGGGGAGCAAACAGGAUUAGAUACCCGAGUAGUCCCUGUCUCUUAUAC